GACGAACGCUGGCGGCGUGCUUAACACAUGCAAGUCGAACGGAAAGGCCCUGCUUUUGUGGGGUGCUCGAGUGGCGAACGGGUGAGUAACACGUGAGUAACCUGCCCUUGACUUUGGGAUAACUUCAGGAAACUGGGGCUAAUACCGGAUAGGAGCUCCUGCUGCAUGGUGGGGGUUGGAAAGUUUCGGCGGUUGGGGAUGGACUCGCGGCUUAUCAGCUUGUUGGUGGGGUAGUGGCUUACCAAGGCUUUGACGGGUAGCCGGCCUGAGAGGGUGACCGGCCACAUUGGGACUGAGAUACGGCCCAGACUCCUACGGGAGGCAGCAGUGGGGAAUAUUGCACAAUGGGCGGAAGCCUGAUGCAACAACGCCGCGUGCGGGAUGACGGCCUUCGGGUUGUAAACAGCUUUCGCCUGUGACGAAGCGUGAGUGACGGUAAUGGGUAAAGAAGCACCGGCUAACUACGUG
RNAcentral lists this ribosomal RNA (468 nucleotides) under uncultured bacterium. RNAcentral's name for it is "partial 16S ribosomal RNA". It matches the Rfam family "Bacterial small subunit ribosomal RNA", at positions 28 to 507 of the family's 1533-position model. The record is from RNAcentral.